GUAGGUGGCAAGCGUUGUCCGGAAUUAUUGGGCGUAAAGCGCGCGCAGGUGGUUCUUUAAGUCUGAUGUGAAAGCCCCCGGGCUCAACCGGGGAGGGUCAUUGGAAACUGGGGAACUUGAGUGCAGGAGAGGAAAGUGGAAUUCCACGUGUAGCGGUGAAAUGCGUAGAUAUGUGGAGGAACACCAGUGGCGAAGGCGACUUUCUGGCCAGUAACUGACACUGAGGCGCGAAAGCGUGGGGAGCAAACAGGAUUAGAUACCCUGGUAGUCCACGCCGUAAACGAUGAGUGCUAAGUGUUGGGGGGUUUCCGCCCCUCAGUGCUGCAGCUAACGCAUUAAGCACUCCGCCUGGGGAGUACGGUCGCAAAGACUG
RNAcentral lists this ribosomal RNA (373 nucleotides) under uncultured organism. RNAcentral describes it as "partial 16S ribosomal RNA". It matches the Rfam family "Bacterial small subunit ribosomal RNA", at positions 527 to 896 of the family's 1533-position model. The record is from RNAcentral.